RNAcentral lists this transfer RNA (62 nucleotides) under Nisotra sp. BMNH 846636. RNAcentral's name for it is "tRNA-Asp". The record is from RNAcentral. Lineage: Eukaryota; Metazoa; Arthropoda; Insecta; Coleoptera; Chrysomelidae.
AAAAAUUUAGUUAAAAAAUAACAUCAACCUGUCAUGUUGAAAUUAUCGAAAGAUAAUUUUUU